Molecule: transfer RNA, 84 nt
Filed under: Nitrospirota bacterium
Lineage: Bacteria; Pseudomonadati; Nitrospirota
Description: Nitrospirae bacterium tRNA-Leu
Rfam family: tRNA
About the family: Transfer RNA (tRNA) molecules are approximately 80 nucleotides in length. Their secondary structure includes four short double-helical elements and three loops (D, anti-codon, and T loops). Further hydrogen bonds mediate the characteristic L-shaped molecular structure. tRNAs have two regions of fundamental functional importance: the anti-codon, which is responsible for specific mRNA codon recognition, and the 3' end, to which the tRNAs corresponding amino acid is attached (by aminoacyl-tRNA synthetases). tRNAs cope with the degeneracy of the genetic code in two manners: having more than one tRNA (with a specific anti-codon) for a particular amino acid; and 'wobble' base-pairing, i.e. permitting non-standard base-pairing at the 3rd anti-codon position.
Source: RNAcentral
GCCGGAGUGGCGGAAUUGGUAGACGCAAGGGACUUAAAAUCCCUCGUCCGCGAGGGUGUGCCGGUUCGAGUCCGGCCUCCGGCA